Oryza nivara is the source of this 192-nucleotide non-coding RNA. The record is from Rfam. Lineage: Eukaryota; Viridiplantae; Streptophyta; Magnoliopsida; Poales; Poaceae.
CCUAGUUUCCGUGCCCAACGUUUGACCGUCCAUCUUAUUUAAAAAAAUUAUAAAAAAAAUAAAAAGACAACUUACGCAUAAAAUAUUAAUCAUAUUUUAUCAUCUAACAACAAUAAAAAUACGAAUUAUAAAAAAAUUUCAUAUAAGACGGACAGUCAAAAUUGGACACGGAAAUUCAGGGUUUGCCUUUUU